This 30-nucleotide ribosomal RNA is filed under the name Boesenbergia sp. NFL-2003-1. Its description in RNAcentral is "partial 26S ribosomal RNA". The record is from RNAcentral. Lineage: Eukaryota; Viridiplantae; Streptophyta; Magnoliopsida; Zingiberales; Zingiberaceae.
GUGGCCCCAAGUCAGGCGAGGCCACCCGCA